This is a long non-coding RNA of Alexandromys fortis (reed vole), 643 nucleotides long. RefSeq lists it as uncharacterized. The record is from RefSeq and is a predicted model, not a curated record. The transcript has 3 exons. NCBI's taxonomy places the organism in Eukaryota, Metazoa, Chordata, Mammalia, Rodentia, Cricetidae.
UAUUUCCCUUCUCAGAUCUUUGAUGGGGUUGAAGACUAUAUAAAUGUAGUUACUUUUUUCUCACGACUUGGCCAAGUUAUUUAUUAUACAAGACCUAAGCUAGUUAGAAUAGGAUAUUUGUACUUAUUGUAUAUAAUUUCAUAGUAGGUUUAGAACUCUCUUACUUAAACAAAAGGGGGAGGUGUUGCGGGAGGUCCUUCCACCCCUCCAACCAAUAGCUGCUGUGAUACCAGCCCAUUGGGGCGUGGUCUCUCUCCCUUUAAAAAAGCGGCUAUUUCCUCUGCUCGCUCUCUUCACUUCCUGCUCCGCCGGAGACUAGACUCCCUUCCUGGUUGUGCAGAUGGCUGUUGUUUGGGACGGUGAUCUGCACAUUCCAAAAGGAUUCCUGGUCGACCUGAAGUGAGAUCUCCUUCAAGACUGAGAAAACCAAAUGACAAACCAGGCAUCCAAAUAGGCUGGCCUCUGUAAAGACAGCCUGGUACUCCCAUUCCAUCACCCCUGGAGGCUGGAUAGAAGUUUUUCCCACUUACCCAGAGAAUUAACUUGAAACGCACUUGCAUGAUACCACCCUAGUCAUCAGGUCAGCUACUACAGAGGAAUAGACCAGACACAGAUCAUCCCUCGGACCUCAUUGUGAUGUGAU